ACUGCUCAGUAACACGUGGAUAACCUGCCCUAAGGAAGGGGAUAACCCCGGGAAACUGGGGAUAAUACCCUAUAGGUUAUAGAUGCUGGAAUGCUCUGUAACUCAAAGUUCCGGCGCCUUAGGAUGGAUCUGCGGCCGAUUAGGUUGUUGUUGGGGUAAUGGCCCAACAAGCCUGUAAUCGGUACGGGUUGUGGGAGCAAGAGCCCGGAGUUGGAUUCUGAGACACGAAUCCAGGCCCUACGGGGCGCAGCAGGCGCGAAAACUUUACAAUGCGGGCAACCGUGAUAAGGGAACCUCGAGUGCCUGUAUAUGCAGGCUGUCCAGGUGUCUAAAACACACCUGAAGAAAGGGCCGGGCAAGACCGGUGCCAGCCGCCGCGGUAAUACCGGCGGCUCGAGUGGUGGCCACUUUUAUUGGGCUUAAAGCGUUCGUAGCUGGGUUGUUAAGUCUCUUGGGAAAUCUGGCGGCUUAACCGUCAGGCGUCUAAGGGAUACUGGCAAUCUUGGAACCGGGAGAGGUGAGGGGUACUUCGGGGGUAGGAGUGAAAUCCUGUAAUCCUCGAGGGACCACCUGUGGCGAAGGCGCCUCACCAGAACGGCUUCGACAGUGAGGGACGAAAGCUGGGGGAGCAAACCGGAUUAGAUACCCGGGUAGUCCCAGCCGUAAACGAUGUGCGUUAGGUGUAUCGACGACCACGAGUCGUCGAGGUGCCGAAGGGAAACCGUGAAACGUACCGCCUGGGAAGUACGGUCGCAAGGCUGAAACUUAAAGGAAUUGGCGGGGGAGCAC
RNAcentral lists this ribosomal RNA (789 nucleotides) under uncultured archaeon. Its description in RNAcentral is "bacterial SSU rRNA". It matches the Rfam family "Archaeal small subunit ribosomal RNA", at positions 85 to 879 of the family's 1478-position model. The record is from RNAcentral.